This 433-nucleotide ribosomal RNA is filed under the name uncultured bacterium. RNAcentral describes it as "partial 16S ribosomal RNA". It matches the Rfam family "Bacterial small subunit ribosomal RNA", at positions 29 to 507 of the family's 1533-position model. The record is from RNAcentral.
AACGAACGCUGGCGGCAUGCCUAACACAUGCAAGUCGAACGAGACCUUCGGGUCUAGUGGCGCACGGGUGCGUAACGCGUGGGAACCUGCCCUUAGGUUCGGAAUAACUCCCCGAAAGGGGUGCUAAUACCGGAUAAUGUCUUCGGACCAACGAUUUAUCGCCUUUGGAUGGGCCCGCGUUGGAUUAGCUAGUUGGUAGGGUAAAAGCCUACCAAGGCGACGAUCCAUAGCUGGUCUGAGAGGAUGAUCAGCCACACUGGGACUGAGACACGGCCCAGACUCCGACGGGAGGCAGCAGUGGGGAAUAUUGGACAAUGGGCGAAAGCCUGAUCCAGCAAUGCCGCGUGAGUGAUGAAGGCCUUAGGGUUGUAAAGCUCUUUUACCCGGGAUGAUAAUGACAGUACCGGGAGAAUAAGCUCCGGCUAACUCCGUG